ACUUUGCACCCUGAAGUUGAUCAAAUAAAUCAUCAAUUCUUGGCAGUGGGUACUUGUUCUUAAUAGUAACUUUAUUCAACUGCCGAUAGUCGACACACAUUCUAAGAGACCCAUCUUUCUUCUUGACAAACAGGACCGGGGCACCCCACGGUGAAACACUCAGCCUGAUGAAGCCCUUGUCAAGAAGGUCUUUCAACUGUUCUCUUAACUCAUUAAGUUCUGCUGGAGCCAUCCUAUAAGGAGGUUUAGAUAUGGGUUGAGUGCCUGGCAUGAGAUCAGUGCCGAAGUCUAUUAUUCUUUUGGGAGGAAGUCCGGGAAGGUCAUCUGGGAAAACUUCUAGAAAUUCUCUAACAACUGGCACUGACUGAAGAGCUGGUGGUUCUGAUUCUGGAUUAAUAAUGUGAGCCAAGAGGUCAUCUGGGAAAACUUCUAGAAAUUCUCUAACAACUGGCACUGACUGAAGAGCUGGUGGUUCUGAUUCUGGAUAAAUAAUGUAGGCCAAGUAGGCGAGACACCCCUUACCGAUCAUUUGUUGUGCCUUAAGGUAAGAAAUAAGCUUACCUACAAGCGAUGCUGAACUACCCUUCCACUCUAGGACAUCUUCAUUUGGAAAUUGGAACUUGACUAUCUUAGCAUGACAAUCUAACAUUGCAUAGUAGAAAGACAACCAAUCCAUACCCGUUAUUACAUCGAAAUCCACCAUUUCUAAUUCCAUGAGAUCGGCCUUGGUGUUGCGACCUUGGACUGAAACUAUAUAACUUCUAUAGACUCUUGUACUCGCCAACUAGAGUAGAUACUAGGAAUGGCUCACUAAGUUGUUCAGUAACUAGACCGAGGUUAAUUACAAAGUAUGGAGUCACAUAUGAAAACGUUGAACCUGGAUCCAUUAUGGCAUAAGCAUUAUGUGACCAGACUAAAGGUAUACCUGUUAUAACUUCUGCAGAUG
RNAcentral lists this long non-coding RNA (946 nucleotides) under Nicotiana benthamiana. RNAcentral describes it as "long non-coding RNA (NBEN_LNC023388)". The record is from RNAcentral. Lineage: Eukaryota; Viridiplantae; Streptophyta; Magnoliopsida; Solanales; Solanaceae.